Molecule: transfer RNA, 73 nt
Filed under: Blattella germanica (German cockroach)
Lineage: Eukaryota; Metazoa; Arthropoda; Insecta; Blattodea; Blattellidae
Description: tRNA-Arg (TCG) (tRNA-Arg-TCG-12-1)
Rfam family: tRNA
About the family: Transfer RNA (tRNA) molecules are approximately 80 nucleotides in length. Their secondary structure includes four short double-helical elements and three loops (D, anti-codon, and T loops).
Source: RNAcentral
GGCCACGUAGCCUAACGGAUAAGGCGUCGGACUUCGGAUCCGAAGAUUGCGGGUUCGAAUCCUGCCGUGGUCG